AUUGAACGCUGGCGGCAGGCCUAACACAUGCAAGUCGAACGGUAACAGGAAGAAGCUUGCUUCUUUGCUGACGCGUGGCGGACGGGUGAGUAAUGUCUGGGAAACUGCCUGAUGGAGGGGGAUAACUACUGGAAACGGUAGCUAAUACCGCAUAACGUCGCAAGACCAAAGAGGGGGACCUUCGGGCCUCUUGCCCUCGGAUGUGCCCAGAUGGGAUUAGCUAGUAGGUGGGGUAACGGCUCACCUAGGCGACGAUCCCUAGCUGGUCUGAGAGGAUGACCAGCCACACUGGAACUGAGACACGGUCCAGACUCCUACGGGAGGCAGCAGUGGGGAAUAUUGCACAAUGGGCGCAAGCCUGAUGCAGCCAUGCCGCGUGUAUGAAGAAGGCCUUCGGGUUGUAAAGUACUUUCAGCGGGGAGGAAGGGAGUAAAGUUAAUACCUUGGCUCAUUGACGUUACCCGCAGAAGAAGCACCGGCUAACUCCGUG
Molecule: ribosomal RNA, 490 nt
Filed under: uncultured bacterium
Lineage: Bacteria
Description: partial 16S ribosomal RNA
Rfam family: Bacterial small subunit ribosomal RNA
Source: RNAcentral